Molecule: ribosomal RNA, 449 nt
Filed under: uncultured bacterium
Lineage: Bacteria
Description: partial 16S ribosomal RNA
Rfam family: Bacterial small subunit ribosomal RNA
Source: RNAcentral
AACGAACGCUGGCGGCAUGCCUAACACAUGCAAGUCGAACGGGAUCUUCGGGUCUAGUGGCGCACGGGUGCGUAACGCGUGGGAAUCUGACCUUUGGUUCGGAAUAACAGUUGGAAACGACUGCUAAUACCGGAUGAUGACGAAAGUCCAAAGAUUUAUCGACAGAGGAUGAGCCCGCGUACGAUUGGCUAGUUGGUGUGGUAAAGGCGCACCAAGGCGACGAUCCUUAGAUGGUCUGAGAGGAUGAUCAGCUACACUGGGACUGAGACACGGCCCAGACUCCUACGGGAGGCAGCAGUGGGGAAUAUUGGACAAUGGGCGAAAGCCUGAUCCAGCAAUGCCGCGUGAGUGAUGAAGGCCUUAGGGUUGUAAAGCUCUUUUACACGGGAUGAUAAUGACAGUACCGGGAGAAUAAGCUCCGGCUAACUCCGUGCCAGCCGCCGCGGUAA